RNAcentral lists this ribosomal RNA (301 nucleotides) under uncultured bacterium. Its description in RNAcentral is "partial 16S ribosomal RNA". It matches the Rfam family "Bacterial small subunit ribosomal RNA", at positions 509 to 808 of the family's 1533-position model. The record is from RNAcentral.
CAGUAGCCACGGUAAUACAGAGGAUGCAAGCGUUAUCCGGAUUUAUUGGGCGUAAAGCGCGUCUAGGUGGUUAUGUAAGACAGGUGUGAAAAUGCAGGGCUCAACUCUGCAUUGCGUUGGAAACUGUAUAACUAGAGUACUGGAGAGGUAAGCGGAACUACAAGUGUAGAGGUGAAAUUCGUAGAUAUUUGUAGGAAUGCCGAUGGGGAAGCCAGCUUACUGGACAGAUACUGACGCUGAAGCGCGAAAGCGUGGGUAGCAAACGGGAUUAGAUACCCCAGUAGUCCCUGUCUCUUAUACA